AUGGAUGAUUUACCUCGCCGCGUACUCGGAGAAGUGCUUCCGCGGCUGGCGCUGCCGCAGCGCGUGCAGGUCGCCGCCGGGGCAGAACUCCAUGAGCAGGCACGAGAAGCGGUCGGUCUCCAAGUGCGCGUACAGGGUGGGGAGGAAGGGGUGGUCCAGGAGCUGCAGGAUCUCCCUCUCCGUCCGCGCCCUGCUCAGCUUCCUCCGCCCCGCCAGCGACGCCUUGUCCAUCACCUUCAUCGCGAAGUGGCACCCCGUCCCGCUCAGCUCCGACAGGUACACGCUGCCGAUGUCGCCGCACCCGAGCCGCCUCAGCAGCCUGAAGUGGCUCAUCCCCAGCGCGCCGCCCCGGGCCCGGACGGCGAGGAUCGCCCGCCACCGAGGGUCGUUCCCCUUGUGGGGCUUGCUGGCGGCUCCGGUGACGCUGUUGCUCCGGCCGCUGUCGUCGCUGCUGUCGCUCGCUUGGCUCCCGCUGGUCUUUAUGCUCUCCGUUGA
RNAcentral lists this ribosomal RNA (495 nucleotides) under Triticum aestivum (bread wheat). RNAcentral's name for it is "partial small subunit ribosomal RNA". The record is from RNAcentral. Lineage: Eukaryota; Viridiplantae; Streptophyta; Magnoliopsida; Poales; Poaceae.